This 253-nucleotide ribosomal RNA is filed under the name uncultured bacterium. RNAcentral's name for it is "partial 16S ribosomal RNA". It matches the Rfam family "Bacterial small subunit ribosomal RNA", at positions 524 to 776 of the family's 1533-position model. The record is from RNAcentral.
UACGGAGGGUGCAAGCGUUAAUCGGAAUUACUGGGCGUAAAGCGCACGCAGGCGGUUGAUUGAGUCAGAUGUGAAAUCCCCGGGCUUAACCCGGGAAUUGCAUUCGAAACUGUCAGGCUAGAGUAUGAAAGAGGGAAGCGGAAUUUCCAGUGUAGCAGUGAAAUGCGUAGAUAUUGGAAGGAACACCGAUGGCGAAGGCAGCUUUCUGGGUCAAUACUGACGCUCAUGUGCGAAAGCGUGGGUAGCAAACGGG